GAUGAAGAACGCAGCGAAAUGCGAUAAGUAAUGUGAAUUGCAGAAUUCAGUGAAUCAUCGAAUCUUUGAACGCACCUUGCGCCCUUUGGCUAUUCCGAAGGGCAUGCCUGUUUGAGUAUCAUAAACACCUCAACUCUCAUGGUUUGCCAUGAUGAGCUUGGACUCUGGGGGUCUUGCUGGCUUAUGGUCAGCUCCUCUCAAAUGAAUUAGCUUUCCAGUGUUUGGUUGGCAUCACAGGUGUGAUAACUAUCUACGCUUGUGGUUUCCACCAGGUAACCUUCAGUAACAUGGGGGUUUGCUGGAGCUCAUAAAUGUCUCUCCUCAGUGGGGACAGCUCUUUGAACAUUUGAUCUCAAAUCAGGUAGGACUACCCGCUGAACUUAAGCAUAUCAAUAAGCGGAGGA
This 404-nucleotide unclassified non-coding RNA is filed under the name soil metagenome. Its description in RNAcentral is "partial contains 5.8S ribosomal RNA, internal transcribed spacer 2, and large subunit ribosomal RNA". The stretch from base 1 to 121 matches the Rfam family "5.8S ribosomal RNA", at positions 35 to 154 of the family's 154-position model. The record is from RNAcentral.